Molecule: small RNA, 753 nt
Filed under: Pongo abelii (Sumatran orangutan)
Lineage: Eukaryota; Metazoa; Chordata; Mammalia; Primates; Hominidae
Description: retained intron
Source: RNAcentral
CUGAGUCGCUCCGAGCGCAAAGCGGCUGAGCGGGUCCGGAGGUUGCGGGAGGAGCAGCAGAGGGAGCGCCUCCGCCAGGUACGCCGCCGCCGCUCCCCGGCCCGGCCAUGCCCGGCCCGCGCCGCCGCUCACCGCCUGCCUGCCCGCAGGUGUCGCGCAUCCUGAGGAAGGCGGCGGCGGAGCGCAGCGCCGAGGAGGGCCGGCUGCUGGCCGAGAGCGCGGACCUGGUAACGGAGCUGCAGGGCCGGAGCCGGCGGCGCGAGGGCUUGAAGCGGCGGCAGGAGGAGGCGAGUUCCGCGCGCGGCGCGCGGGCGCCCCCGGUUUCGGGAGCAGCUGGGGCGACGGGCGGUCCCGGGUGGGGCGGCCCGGGGCGGUGACCACCCUGGCGUCUUGACAGGUGUGCGACGACCCGGAGGAGCUGCGGGGGAAGGUCCGGGAGCUGGCCAGCGCCGUCCGGAACGCCAAAUACCUGGUCGUCUACACAGGCGCGGGAAUCAGCACGGUAGGGAGGGAGGCGGAGGCGCACCCGAGGACGGAGUAUGCGCUCCAGUAAUCGCGAAAAACUCGCCUUUAAAACAGCUCUAAGGUUUUUUCCCUUUCUUAAAGAAACGAAAUGACCAAAACUUAUCUAAGGUAAACGCUUUUUAAACGCUUGGUCUCUGUGUUACAGCCAGUUAAACAAGGAGUAGAGAUACGAAUGGGGUGUAGUAGCCGACUGUUCGCAGGCACCCCCAGGUUAUGUGGACAGAGCUA